This 253-nucleotide ribosomal RNA is filed under the name uncultured bacterium. RNAcentral describes it as "partial 16S ribosomal RNA". It matches the Rfam family "Bacterial small subunit ribosomal RNA", at positions 524 to 776 of the family's 1533-position model. The record is from RNAcentral.
UACAGAGGGUGCAAGCGUUAAUCGGAAUUACUGGGCGUAAAGCGUGCGUAGACGGUUACUUAAGUCGGGUGUGAAAGCCCCGGGCUCAACCUGGGAAUUGCAUUCGAGACUGCGUAGCUAGGGUGCGGAAGAGGGAAGCGGAAUUUCCGGUGUAGCGGUGAAAUGCGUAGAUAUCGGAAGGAACACCAGUGGCGAAAGCGGCUUCCUGGUCCAGCACCGACGUUCAGGCACGAAAGCGUGGGGAGCAAACAGG